RNAcentral lists this ribosomal RNA (2902 nucleotides) under Escherichia coli. RNAcentral describes it as "bacterial LSU rRNA". It matches the Rfam family "Bacterial large subunit ribosomal RNA". The record is from RNAcentral. Lineage: Bacteria; Pseudomonadati; Pseudomonadota; Gammaproteobacteria; Enterobacterales; Enterobacteriaceae.
UUAAGCGACUAAGCGUACACGGUGGAUGCCCUGGCAGUCAGAGGCGAUGAAGGACGUGCUAAUCUGCGAUAAGCGUCGGUAAGGUGAUAUGAACCGUUAUAACCGGCGAUUUCCGAAUGGGGAAACCCAGUGUGAUUCGUCACACUAUCAUUAACUGAAUCCAUAGGUUAAUGAGGCGAACCGGGGGAACUGAAACAUCUAAGUACCCCGAGGAAAAGAAAUCAACCGAGAUUCCCCCAGUAGCGGCGAGCGAACGGGGAGGAGCCCAGAGCCUGAAUCAGUGUGUGUGUUAGUGGAAGCGUCUGGAAAGGCGCGCGAUACAGGGUGACAGCCCCGUACACAAAAAUGCACAUGCUGUGAGCUCGAUGAGUAGGGCGGGACACGUGGUAUCCUGUCUGAAUAUGGGGGGACCAUCCUCCAAGGCUAAAUACUCCUGACUGACCGAUAGUGAACCAGUACCGUGAGGGAAAGGCGAAAAGAACCCCGGCGAGGGGAGUGAAAAAGAACCUGAAACCGUGUACGUACAAGCAGUGGGAGCACGCUUAGGCGUGUGACUGCGUACCUUUUGUAUAAUGGGUCAGCGACUUAUAUUCUGUAGCAAGGUUAACCGAAUAGGGGAGCCGAAGGGAAACCGAGUCUUAACUGGGCGUUAAGUUGCAGGGUAUAGACCCGAAACCCGGUGAUCUAGCCAUGGGCAGGUUGAAGGUUGGGUAACACUAACUGGAGGACCGAACCGACUAAUGUUGAAAAAUUAGCGGAUGACUUGUGGCUGGGGGUGAAAGGCCAAUCAAACCGGGAGAUAGCUGGUUCUCCCCGAAAGCUAUUUAGGUAGCGCCUCGUGAAUUCAUCUCCGGGGGUAGAGCACUGUUUCGGCAAGGGGGUCAUCCCGACUUACCAACCCGAUGCAAACUGCGAAUACCGGAGAAUGUUAUCACGGGAGACACACGGCGGGUGCUAACGUCCGUCGUGAAGAGGGAAACAACCCAGACCGCCAGCUAAGGUCCCAAAGUCAUGGUUAAGUGGGAAACGAUGUGGGAAGGCCCAGACAGCCAGGAUGUUGGCUUAGAAGCAGCCAUCAUUUAAAGAAAGCGUAAUAGCUCACUGGUCGAGUCGGCCUGCGCGGAAGAUGUAACGGGGCUAAACCAUGCACCGAAGCUGCGGCAGCGACGCUGAUGCGUUGUUGGGUAGGGGAGCGUUCUGUAAGCCUGCGAAGGUGUGCUGUGAGGCAUGCUGGAGGUAUCAGAAGUGCGAAUGCUGACAUAAGUAACGAUAAAGCGGGUGAAAAGCCCGCUCGCCGGAAGACCAAGGGUUCCUGUCCAACGUUAAUCGGGGCAGGGUGAGUCGACCCCUAAGGCGAGGCCGAAAGGCGUAGUCGAUGGGAAACAGGUUAAUAUUCCUGUACUUGGUGUUACUGCGAAGGGGGGACGGAGAAGGCUAUGUUGGCCGGGCGACGGUUGUCCUGGUUUAAGCGUGUAGGCUGGUUUUCCAGGCAAAUCCGGAAAACUAAGGCUGAGGCGUGAUGACGAGGCACUACGGUGCUGAAGCAACAAAUGCCCUGCUUCCAGGAAAAGCCUCUAAGCAUCAGGUAACAUCAAAUCGUACCCCAAACCGACACAGGUGGUCAGGUAGAGAAUACCAAGGCGCUUGAGAGAACUCGGGUGAAGGAACUAGGCAAAAUGGUGCCGUAACUUCGGGAGAAGGCACGCUGAUAUGUAGGUGAAGUCCCUCGCGGAUGGAGCUGAAAUCAGUCGAAGAUACCAGCUGGCUGCAACUGUUUAUUAAAAACACAGCACUGUGCAAACACGAAAGUGGACGUAUACGGUGUGACGCCUGCCCGGUGCCGGAAGGUUAAUUGAUGGGGUCAGCGCAAGCGAAGCUCUUGAUCGAAGCCCCGGUAAACGGCGGCCGUAACUAUAACGGUCCUAAGGUAGCGAAAUUCCUUGUCGGGUAAGUUCCGACCUGCACGAAUGGCGUAAUGAUGGCCAGGCUGUCUCCACCCGAGACUCAGUGAAAUUGAACUCGCUGUGAAGAUGCAGUGUACCCGCGGCAAGACGGAAAGACCCCGUGAACCUUUACUAUAGCUUGACACUGAACAUUGAGCCUUGAUGUGUAGGAUAGGUGGGAGGCUUUGAAGUGUGGACGCCAGUCUGCAUGGAGCCGACCUUGAAAUACCACCCUUUAAUGUUUGAUGUUCUAACGUUGACCCGUAAUCCGGGUUGCGGACAGUGUCUGGUGGGUAGUUUGACUGGGGCGGUCUCCUCCUAAAGAGUAACGGAGGAGCACGAAGGUUGGCUAAUCCUGGUCGGACAUCAGGAGGUUAGUGCAAUGGCAUAAGCCAGCUUGACUGCGAGCGUGACGGCGCGAGCAGGUGCGAAAGCAGGUCAUAGUGAUCCGGUGGUUCUGAAUGGAAGGGCCAUCGCUCAACGGAUAAAAGGUACUCCGGGGAUAACAGGCUGAUACCGCCCAAGAGUUCAUAUCGACGGCGGUGUUUGGCACCUCGAUGUCGGCUCAUCACAUCCUGGGGCUGAAGUAGGUCCCAAGGGUAUGGCUGUUCGCCAUUUAAAGUGGUACGCGAGCUGGGUUUAGAACGUCGUGAGACAGUUCGGUCCCUAUCUGCCGUGGGCGCUGGAGAACUGAGGGGGGCUGCUCCUAGUACGAGAGGACCGGAGUGGACGCAUCACUGGUGUUCGGGUUGUCAUGCCAAUGGCACUGCCCGGUAGCUAAAUGCGGAAGAGAUAAGUGCUGAAAGCAUCUAAGCACGAAACUUGCCCCGAGAUGAGUUCUCCCUGACUCCUUGAGAGUCCUGAAGGAACGUUGAAGACGACGACGUUGAUAGGCCGGGUGUGUAAGCGCAGCGAUGCGUUGAGCUAACCGGUACUAAUGAACCGUGAGGCUUAACCUU